RNAcentral lists this non-coding RNA (197 nucleotides) under Marinilabilia salmonicolor. Lineage: Bacteria; Pseudomonadati; Bacteroidota; Bacteroidia; Marinilabiliales; Marinilabiliaceae. The record is from RNAcentral.
UUUACCGUGAGGUAUGCAGUGAAGGAAGCCAACCGGCAAAAGUCUGUACUGACGGACAGGUAUUACAGGAUUAGCAUAUGCUGUAAGGCGCAUAUGAGGCAUGAUUGUUUGGGUAAGCAAGCACAUCAUUGUAAAGCCCAAAGAACACCAAAGGACAGUUAUGUAGAUGCGACAGGAAUAGACUGAAGGAUAAAGCU